Molecule: ribosomal RNA, 2234 nt
Filed under: Salmonella enterica subsp. enterica serovar Lomalinda
Lineage: Bacteria; Pseudomonadati; Pseudomonadota; Gammaproteobacteria; Enterobacterales; Enterobacteriaceae
Description: bacterial LSU rRNA
Rfam family: Bacterial large subunit ribosomal RNA
Source: RNAcentral
UGACUGCGUACCUUUUGUAUAAUGGGUCAGCGACUUAUAUUCUGUAGCAAGGUUAACCGUAUAGGGGAGCCGGAGGGAAACCGAGUCUUAACCGGGCGUUAAGUUGCAGGGUAUAGACCCGAAACCCGGUGAUCUAGCCAUGGGCAGGUUGAAGGUUGGGUAACACUAACUGGAGGACCGAACCGACUAAUGUUGAAAAAUUAGCGGAUGACCUGUGGCUGGGGGUGAAAGGCCAAUCAAACCGGGAGAUAGCUGGUUCUCCCCGAAAGCUAUUUAGGUAGCGCCUCGUGAAUUCAUCUCCGGGGGUAGAGCACUGUUUCGGCUAGGGGGCCAUCCCGGCUUACCAACCCGAUGCAAACUGCGAAUACCGGAGAAUGUUAUCACGGGAGACACACGGCGGGUGCUAACGUCCGUCGUGAAGAGGGAAACAACCCAGACCGCCAGCUAAGGUCCCAAAGUCAUGGUUAAGUGGGAAACGAUGUGGGAAGGCCCAGACAGCCAGGAUGUUGGCUUAGAAGCAGCCAUCAUUUAAAGAAAGCGUAAUAGCUCACUGGUCGAGUCGGCCUGCGCGGAAGAUGUAACGGGGCUAAACCAUGCACCGAAGCUGCGGCAGCGACACUGUGUGUUGUUGGGUAGGGGAGCGUUCUGUAAGCCUGUGAAGGUGUGCUGUGAGGCAUGCUGGAGGUAUCAGAAGUGCGAAUGCUGACAUAAGUAACGAUAAAGCGGGUGAAAAGCCCGCUCGCCGGAAGACCAAGGGUUCCUGUCCAACGUUAAUCGGGGCAGGGUGAGUCGACCCCUAAGGCGAGGCCGAAAGGCGUAGUCGAUGGGAAACGGGUUAAUAUUCCCGUACUUGGUGUUACUGCGAAGGGGGGACGGAGAAGGCUAUGUUGGCCGGGCGACGGUUGUCCCGGUUUAAGCGUGUAGGUGUGUGUUCCAGGUAAAUCCGGUUCACUUUAACACUGAGGCGUGAUGACGAGGCACUACGGUGCUGAAGCAACAAAUGCCCUGCUUCCAGGAAAAGCCUCUAAGCAUCAGGUAACAUCAAAUCGUACCCCAAACCGACACAGGUGGUCAGGUAGAGAAUACCAAGGCGCUUGAGAGAACUCGGGUGAAGGAACUAGGCAAAAUGGUGCCGUAACUUCGGGAGAAGGCACGCUGACACGUAGGUGAAGUGAUUUACUCACGGAGCUGAAGUCAGUCGAAGAUACCAGCUGGCUGCAACUGUUUAUUAAAAACACAGCACUGUGCAAACACGAAAGUGGACGUAUACGGUGUGACGCCUGCCCGGUGCCGGAAGGUUAAUUGAUGGGGUCAGCGCAAGCGAAGCUCCUGAUCGAAGCCCCGGUAAACGGCGGCCGUAACUAUAACGGUCCUAAGGUAGCGAAAUUCCUUGUCGGGUAAGUUCCGACCUGCACGAAUGGCGUAAUGAUGGCCAGGCUGUCUCCACCCGAGACUCAGUGAAAUUGAACUCGCUGUGAAGAUGCAGUGUACCCGCGGCAAGACGGAAAGACCCCGUGAACCUUUACUAUAGCUUGACACUGAACAUUGAGCCUUGAUGUGUAGGAUAGGUGGGAGGCUUUGAAGCGUGGACGCCAGUCUGCGUGGAGCCGACCUUGAAAUACCACCCUUUAAUGUUUGAUGUUCUAACGUGGAUCCGUGAUCCGGGUUGCGGACAGUGUCUGGUGGGUAGUUUGACUGGGGCGGUCUCCUCCUAAAGAGUAACGGAGGAGCACGAAGGUUGGCUAAUCCUGGUCGGACAUCAGGAGGUUAGUGCAAUGGCAUAAGCCAGCUUGACUGCGAGCGUGACGGCGCGAGCAGGUGCGAAAGCAGGUCAUAGUGAUCCGGUGGUUCUGAAUGGAAGGGCCAUCGCUCAACGGAUAAAAGGUACUCCGGGGAUAACAGGCUGAUACCGCCCAAGAGUUCAUAUCGACGGCGGUGUUUGGCACCUCGAUGUCGGCUCAUCACAUCCUGGGGCUGAAGUAGGUCCCAAGGGUAUGGCUGUUCGCCAUUUAAAGUGGUACGCGAGCUGGGUUUAGAACGUCGUGAGACAGUUCGGUCCCUAUCUGCCGUGGGCGCUGGAGAACUGAGGGGGGCUGCUCCUAGUACGAGAGGACCGGAGUGGACGCAUCACUGGUGUUCGGGUUGUCAUGCCAAUGGCACUGCCCGGUAGCUAAAUGCGGAAGAGAUAAGUGCUGAAAGCAUCUAAGCACGAAACUUGCCCCGAGAUGAGUUCU